CAGCAGCCGCGGGAAUACGUAGGGUGCGAGCGUUAAUCGGAAUUACUGGGCGUAAAGCGUGAGCAGGCGGUUCGUUAAGACAGAUGUGAAAUCCCCGGGCUUAACCUGGGAACUGCAUUUGUGACUGGCGAGCUAGAGUAUGGCAGAGGGGGGUAGAAUUCCACGUGUAGCAGUGAAAUGCGUAGAGAUGUGGAGGAAUACCGAUGGCGAAGGCAGCCCCCUGGGCCAAUACUGACGCUCAUGCACGAAAGCGUGGGGAGCAAACAGGAUUAGAUACCCGCGUAGUCCCUGUCUCUUAUAC
RNAcentral lists this ribosomal RNA (301 nucleotides) under uncultured bacterium. Its description in RNAcentral is "partial 16S ribosomal RNA". It matches the Rfam family "Bacterial small subunit ribosomal RNA", at positions 509 to 807 of the family's 1533-position model. The record is from RNAcentral.